Molecule: ribosomal RNA, 251 nt
Filed under: uncultured prokaryote
Description: partial 16S rRNA
Rfam family: Bacterial small subunit ribosomal RNA
Source: RNAcentral
ACGGAGGGUGCAAGCGUUAAUCGGAAUUACUGGGCGUAAAGCGCAUGUAGGCGGUUUGGCAAGUCAGAUGUGAAAUCCCCGGGCUCAACCUGGGAAGUGCAUUUGAAACUGUGGAGCUUGAGUAUCGUAGAGGGUGGUAGAAUUCCAGGUGUAGAGGUGAAAUGCGUAGAGAUCUGGAGGAAUAGCGGUGGCGAAGGCGGCCAUCUGGACGAGAACUGACGCUCAGGCGCGAAAGCGUGGGGAGCAAACAG